AUACGGAGGGUGCAAGCGUUGUUCGGAUUCACUGGGUAUAAAGGGUGCGCAGGCGGUCUGAUAAGUCAGAGGUGAAAUAUGUCGGCUCAACCGGCAAACGGCCCCUGAAACUGUCAGACUUGAGUCCGGGAGAGGUAGGUGGAAUUCCAGGUGUAGCGGUGAAAUGCGUAAAUAUCUGGAGGAACACCGGUGGCGAAGGCGGCCUACUGGCCCGGAACUGACGCUCAGGCACGAAAGCGUGGGGAGCGAACGGGAUUAGAAACCCUAGUAGUCC
RNAcentral lists this ribosomal RNA (274 nucleotides) under uncultured bacterium. Its description in RNAcentral is "partial 16S ribosomal RNA". It matches the Rfam family "Bacterial small subunit ribosomal RNA", at positions 523 to 796 of the family's 1533-position model. The record is from RNAcentral.